AAUUUUCAAACGGUAUAUACCGCUGUUUUCUUUAAGACGAGGCCACAAGAGAAAAAGUUGUACUCUACAUUUUUAUAUUUAGAGUAACCUUCGGCCAAUCGUCCACCUCUUAUCGGUCUACAAUCAGCAAAGAAUACGUAGAAUCCCCUCUGAACUUCUCUUACGCCGCAAACGUUAAAAAUAUACACAACGAAGCAUCAUCAACGACGAUACAAAUGAAAUGAAAAAAUUGCGAUGGAGAGCCACGUCAAAGGCUUAAUUCUAGCAGAAUAUCUUCGACUUUAAUCAGGAAUUUAGGUCCACGAUGUAUACGAGUUUCGAGGUUCACGACAGCUUCAGAUUGUAGGUUUCUACGUAUAAGAGGCGAUCCUGGUAGUCGGUGCGUGGGUAUUGCUGGCAAGAACAAUUGGAUUGUUGUAAGAGGAUAUUUUUAUAGCUUUAUGCACGGCAUUUUUAAUACGGAUGAAUAGGAAAUGGGAAGUGGCGGCGAGGGUCGGUAGUGGGAAUUCUGGAAAAUGGCUUCUAUACGCGCAACUCUGAGAUUGGCCUUUGUUUGAUGACCGGGGAAAAUCGGUGGCUGUGAAACCGUUUUGCUUGUUGCAACAAGCAACUUUGCGCGCUCCUAUACGCCUCUAGUUAACACGUGCGCUCUCACAGCUACGGGCUUUGUUGAUCCGCUACGUUUUCUUGGUAAACAGCUCUAGAAGGAAAGCGUAUCGGCGGGAAAUUUUUAAAUAAUAUCAUGGAAAUAUAACGCAUAUUUCGCAAAGAAAUCAUUCACAGGCUCGAUUGUAUUUAGUAUCUCGCCACCAGCUAUUUUCCCCGCUCGUUUACAUAAUUACUCGCUCACGCUAGCAAUGACCCAUAUCGUUUCCGCUCUAUGAACAGUUUCCUCAGUUUCGUUCAUUUCUACGAUAAAGAGAAAUCUCUGGAAAUAAAUUGGAAAUGUUCAGAUUGCGAUAAUCCGGCUAAGUUAAUUAUAGGAGAAAUCGAAUGGUGCGUUUGUCGAAGUUCUUCGCUAAUUUCCAUGCGAUUGGCGGCGAAAAUAGAAAAAGAAGCGCUAUAUACGCCUUCUUGUUCGCCAACACGUCAGUACGUGUCACACUACAUUCUCCUGACUGGCGUAAGCGGCACAAGUGGCUUUAUACAUACAUAUGUAUGCAAUGUAAAUAAGCGUGUACGUAAUGUAAGCGGCGCGCAAAAAUACCCGUAAUACUAAAUUAUCGGUACAAGCGGUAGCGAACUGCGUUGCCGAUAAAUCUGCACUUAUUUUAAUUAAUCCCGUUAAAGAACGUGAAAGUCUUGCCACAUUGCCAACACCGUGUACCCAGUCGAAGCGUCUUAGGUGCCGAUUGGAAUUUAAUUUAGACGAAAAUACAAAGUUAUUCGUCCGUGUAACCGUGUUCUGUUUCCUUUUUAACAGACAGUCCAAACAGAAUUUAUUAUCGACGUUGUAUCGCCGCUUCUAUUAUUUCUUUCCUGCUACCUGUUAAAUUCGUAAGCGUUAUUAUAUCUCGCAUUUUAAUCUACGAUUUCGAACGGUUGUAUAAGUCUUGUGUAAGUCUAAGGUUGUAUGAGUCUAUUUUAUUUUUUGAUGGGGAACUGGUUACACGUCCUGGAAUCUCAUAAACGGAACGAGUUGGAUAAAUAGCAAUAGAAGGCACGAGUCCUCGAGCAAAGAUCCACGACUCGAGAUGUUCGUUAUUUUUGUUGCAAUUAUAAAGAUAAAUAUUCAUCAAGCCGCUUUCGUACACGUGCCGCCAUCUGGGGAAAUGCAAUAAACAUUUGCAGAUGGCGCUGCGAUAGCUUUUAGAAUUUGAAGCAGUUCGAAUUCGCGGUUUCGUAGUCGGAAUAAAGCUUCUUGCGAAAAAAGCACGAGUUAUUACGAAACAUUAACGAAGUGGUUUGCAAUUGUGACAAAUUGUUAAUCUAUAGAUAGAAGAAACACAUAAGUAACUUUGAAACAACGAAAAUUUCCAGGAAUAAUACAUAGUUACAUUCUAUAAUUGAAAAUUAUAAAUUAUUCAACAUUCUAAAUCAAACAUAAAGUCGCGCGUUCAAGCAGACGACGCGACGCUACUGUAGCGACCACGUGAAAGCUGUGUCUCGUUGUUUAUCGUAGGAAAAUGGGUCGGAAAAUUCCAGGAAAAAAGCACAGAGGCGUAAAAGAUCCUCUUAAGCAACAGGCAAAACGACUGGCAGAGUUAGAAACAAAGAUAAAUGCACCGCCAAAAAAUGCAGACGAACAAGCUAUACCGAAAACUUUAGAAAGAGUAGUGAAAUUGAAAGAGGCAGUGAAGUCAGGGAAGAUAACCAAAGUCAAGAAAAAGAAAAAGAAGAAAAAUGCCCUCAUAUCUGUUGGCAAUAAGUUGUGCUCUAAGCCUUUACAUCCAAAGGCUAAACCAGAUAAAGUUGUUCCUGUAUUUCAACAGAGACCUGGUGAAAGUGAGGAUAGAUUUUUGCACAGAGUUAACAGGGAUACUUACGCCUUUAUUAAUGAAACUGCCUUUGAGAGGAAAUACAGUGUUCAAGUCAAUCGAAAUCCAAAUACAGGAGAGAUAGAGGGGCUUUCGAAAUGCGAGAAAACUGAGUUAGAUAAAAUUGACAUGUUGAGGUCAAAGCAUAAAAAUAUUAAAAAAAAGAAGAAAAAGAAAGAUACUGAUGAACCUAAAAUGAGUAAGUCAGAGAAGAGGAGAGAGAAAUUGAAAUCCAAGAAACAAAAACAAAUAGAAGAAAAAGUAGAUGAAUUUGAUACUUUUAAAGAUCAAGUUAAAUUUGGAGAAGUUGCUCAUGAACCGCCUCAAUUAAAAGUCAGGCCAAAACAUGCUGACAAUAUAAGUACCUUUAAGCCUGGAAAGAAGAAACUGCUUCUUCAUUCAAUACUUAAAAAGAGUGAGAAGACAAAAAUGGGGACUAAGAAAACAAUAGCCAUAGAUAAAUCAGGAAAACGCAAGAAUCUACCAGUUGGAGAAAGGAGACAGUUAGAAAAACAGCAAAGUGAUAUCAUAGCAGCAUACAGAAGGUUAAAAGCACAACGGUCGGCUGACGUUAACAACUAGGGCUAAUGGUACAACGAAGAAAAAUUUUAUCGGAAUAAACGGCUCGUUGAGUGGUUAAACGCUGUACGUGUAACAACAGUGUUUGCCAUCGUACGAAGGAAGGAAAUGCGGUGAACGUUCGUGAAAAUCGGAAUAAAAGGAAACGCUUGAAAACGAGCUCGUCUGGUAGAAGUCCCGAUCUUCGAACGAUCGACGUCUUCCGUGAUCGAAUAAUCUACGUGACUGGCCACGUGACUGCCGCUCUGCAAACAGAUGGAAAAGAAGGGAAAAAAGACUAAUUGCCGAGUGGAGAUGAUUCCCUACUAACAGAGUGUGGAGAUUAACCGAGUGUUGAAGUGAGAGCCGCAUUAACGUGUUAUUAACGUCAUGAAAUAACGCCACGAAAGUAAUCAUGGAGAAGGUCUACCGGUCGACUUGGAGCAAUCCAAGA
RNA transcript from Bombus huntii, 3489 nucleotides. It is a transcript of the gene named coiled-coil domain-containing protein 137, with no coding region annotated. The record is from RefSeq and is a predicted model, not a curated record. Lineage: Eukaryota; Metazoa; Arthropoda; Insecta; Hymenoptera; Apidae. The transcript is spliced from 8 exons.